AGUGGCUACAUUUCCAGCAAACAUGGCAAGAAAUCCUUCCAAAAAUAGGGUUAAACUACUUUAUUUUCUUUCUUAUUUUUCUGUCCUUCGUUCUCUUCUUGUUUAAGCUCACUAGAAGUCGCAAACUCAAUUUACCUCCAUCCCCCCCAAAGCUGCCUGUAAUCGGCAACAUUCACCAUUUGGGCACACUGCCACACCGUUCUUUACAAGCUCUCUCGAAAAAAUAUGGCCCUUUAAUGCUUUUGCACAUGGGGCAUGUUCCGACUCUCAUCGUUUCAUCUGCCGAGGCAGCUAGUGAGAUUAUGAAGACCCAUGAUAUUGUUUUCGCAAACAGACACCAAACCACAGCUGCAAGCAUCUUUUUUCAUGGUUGUGUAGAUGUUGGUUUUGCUCCUUUAGGUGAGUACUGGAGAAAAGUUAGGAAGAUCUGUGUCCAAGAACUUUUGGGCCCGAAAAUGGUGCAAUCAUUUCACCACGUAAGAGAAGAAGAAGCUGCAGGCUUGAUUGAUAAAAUUCGUUUUGCUUGUCAUGGUGGGACUUCUGUUAAUCUAAGUGAGAUGCUGAUCUCUGUCUCAAGCAAUGUCGUUUCCAGAUGUGUUGUUGGUCGGAAAGCUGACAAGGAAGGCGGCAACAGCAAGUUUGGAGAGUUGACGAGGACAGCUAUGGUUCAAUUGACAUCUUUUAGUUUUGGGGAUUUAUUCCCUUACUUGGGAUGGAUGGACACUCUCACAGGCUUGAUUCCACGGUUGAAAGCAACUUCGAGUGCAUUAGAUUCCUUUCUUGAUCAGGUGAUUGAAGAGCACAGGAGUUUGGAAAGUGAUGGCGACAGCUGUGCUCAGACUGAUUUUCUGCAAGCUCUCCUCCAACUUCAGAAGAACGGCAAGCUUGACGUGCAGCUCACACGAGACAAUAUCAUAGCAGUAGUUUUGGUAUCUCUCACUACCUCUCAUAGAAAAAUUAAGAUUUCAUGUCUUUGUUGUUUUCGUUUUCUAAAUUUUCCUGAGCAUCAACCUUUCCAUUUUGAAACAUCUCAGGACAUGUUUGUGGGAGGGACUGAUACAGGCUCAACAAUGAUGGAAUGGGCGAUGGCAGAGCUUGUAAGGAAUCAAACUAUCAUGAGGAAAGCCCAAGAAGAGGUCAGGAGAAUAGUAGGGAAGAAAUCGAAGGUAGAAGCAAGUGAUAUAGAAGAGAUGGCAUAUUUGAAAUGCAUCCUCAAAGAGACUCUCAGGCUUCAUCCCUCUGACCCUCUGCUGGUUCCUAGAGAAACAUCAGCAAGUGUUGAGUUGGGAGGCUACGACAUUCCUCCCAAGACAAGAGUUAUUGUGAACGCAUUUGCCAUUCAAAGGGACCCUAGCUUCUGGGACAGACCUGACGAGUUUCUCCCAGAAAGGUUUGAAAACAACCCAGUUGAUUUCAAAGGCCAGCACUUUCAGUUCAUCCCAUUUGGUAGCGGGAGAAGGAGUUGCCCUGGGGCCCUAUUUGGAGUCACUGCAGUUGAAUCUGUGAUUGCCAAUCUCCUAUAUUGGUUCGACUGGAGGUUGCCAGAUGGCGCAUCUGAAGAGGAAUUGGACAUGAGUGAGAUCUGUGGAAUGUCUGCUUACAAGAAGAUCCCUCUUCUUCUUGUACCUUCAUUGUACUCGCCCUGAGCAAUCCAGAGAUCAUGCUUUUCAUGUCAUGGCUUAAAGAAGCUCUUGUUCUCAUCUUCCUAAAUUAAAAUAAAAAGAUGAGAAAAGAACCCCUUAAUUAUCCUUAUGUAACUCGAAAGUUAAAACAAUGAAUAAGUAAACCUCUCCUUGGUUUCUUGCUAUUGCUGGCCGUGUGAAACAAUUACUAAACUAGUUGCAGCAAUGGCUAUACUGCCAGAUUUGCAGCAAAACGCAACAAGAUUUACACAAAGCAAAGCGCUCCAAUUCUUUUCUUUUCCUUCUUCUUUCCCUGUGCUUUCUACUUCUCAUGUACAGGAUUUUUAAUAUUCAAAAGCUCAAACUUACCUCCCUCCCUACCGAAGCUGCCUGUAAUUUGCAACUUUCACCAACCAGGCUAAAAAGCAUGGCCAUUUGCUCUUGCAUCGGGAGCAUACUCCGACUCUAGUGGUUUUCUCUGCGGUGAUGGCUAGAGAAAUGAUUAGGAACCAUGAUGUUUGUUUCUCAAACCGACCCAAAACAAAAGCUGAGACCAAUACCGUUUUGAUUAAUAAUUGUUUUUAACAGUAUUUUUAUUUAAAAUUAUAUUAAAAUAAUAAUUUUUAUUUUUUAAAAAUUAUUUUUAAUAUCAAUAUAUCAAAAUAAUAAAAAUAAUAAAAAAAUAAUUUUAAACAAAAAAAAUCAUAUUAAAAAAAACCAUUUCAAAUGUGUUAAAAAAUUGCCUCUAAAAUUGCAACUAGCGUACUUAUCCAGAGGGGAUUCUUCCUCUUCACAUGAAUAAUAUGGUCCUAUAGUAGCCAAGCAAAACACAAAGGUUUGCUCAACUAACUUGUUAGGUUGGGGUGAGAAAAGAACAUGAAAAACCGAUUAAAUAGAAAAAAUAAUUAAAAAAGUUGAACCAUAAAAAAAAUGAUUAAACCAAUUAUUUUUUUUUUAAAAAAACCAAGGAUAAAGGUAGCUAUUCAAACGCUUAACAGAUGCAAUUCUAAUUAUAUCAAUUCAGGAGUCCAAGAAAGUUCGGUUCGAUUUCGGUUUUAUAAACUUGAAACUAAAAAAAUCAACCGAAUCGAACCGGUUCCGUUAAGGGGUACUAUAAAUACAAAAAAAAAAUGCUCUUUAAUUUCCUUAACCCUAGCGCGUCUAGCCGUCCUAAGAAAAUUAGCCGCUCCCUCAACCCUUACAAUUCACACCUUCACAAAUCUCAUCUCAUCUGGAGCAAACAAGCUGCGAGUUUGUUUUCUAGAGGAUGAUCAAAAUACCAUGGGAGAAGAGAAGAAGUUUUGAAGAAAGGAGGAAGAACAUGUCAUGUGUUCUACAUGGGGUUUCCCCAAAACACCGACUGAGAAAGAGAGAAAUUAGGAAAGAAUACUGAAUUAUGUUAUAUUAAUUGUGUAGUUUCUGUUACAUUCUUAGGGUAUUUAACAUAACCCAAAACAUUCCCUUGAUUCUAUUUUUCCCAUAGCCUUUACACGUGGCUUUGACUAUUUUAUUUAGAACCAUCAGUGCUGCAUGAAACACAACCGUUUAACUAAUGUUUCAAAAUUCCUUGCAGCUUCCUUCUAACGCUGUCGUUUAUGCUUGAUUUGAAUUAAAUCCCUCUUCUUCUGUGCUAGCCCUCAUCUUCUUUGGUUCCAGUCGUGACAAUGCUCCCUCCAUGACCACCACCUUGUCCUCAAGGUGAAACUCAAGAAAUCGAAAGCAGAAAUCAUCAACAUUUUCCCAGGUGGCUUUUGUCAGAGGUUCGUCCUUCCAAAAAACUAAUAAUUGAGCUGUGGCAGGUAAUUGUAAUUCAUAUGCUACGGUGCCAAUUUUCUUAAUGACUGUAUAAGAACCAUAGUAUUUUGUUGAUAGCUUAUGGGAAACUCUCUUGUAAACGGAGUGUUGUCUGUAAGGUUAUAAUUUGACAUAGACUGAAUCCCCUAUCGAAAAACUUCGUUCGCUUCUUUUCUUGUCGGCUUGCUGGGUCAUUUCGUGUUGAGAUUGUAGGAGAUUACUUCUAAUUUCUUUGAACAUUUCCUCUUGUUAGGUGAGGUAGUGAUCCACGGCCUCCACUAGAGAGUCCUUAUGAGUGUAGGGAAUGUGAGAUCAGAGAAGCUCAGCCAAAACAGAAGAAAAAAGAAGAGAAAGGGAGAGAAGAGGAAGAGACCGAGGGUCACUGCGCAUAGAAGAAGAAGAACCGUUUCUCACCAUCUAAGCACCACUGUGAUUUCUCUCCACCGCCAUCCUGCCACCAUCAACGCUGCCAACGCCAGCAGAACCGAAGAGGGAGAAGCAGAACAGAACAGAACAGAGAGAGGGAAAGAGAAGAUAAGGGAAACAACAGAGGAGGGGUUGAGGAGAGAAACAGAGGAGACAAGAGAGAAGGAAAGAAAACAGUUGCCGCCUACACCACCACCCCUGCCGCAUCCAGCAUUUUUUUGCAUACGACCAAGUGUCUCAAAGCUAAAAAAUCAUAUUGUGUUUUUUUAUACACCAAAAAAAAAUGUUUAGUAUGCAUUUUGGCUUUAAUAACCAGUUUAUUAAAGUCAAGAGAACAUUAACCAAAAUUUUAAAAACAACAAAAAAUUUAUUUUGUUUGUCUUUUAGUGUCCGGGGUAUGACAUUACACGUAAUGUGUAUUUCGGAUAUUUAGUUCUUUUUUCGGACAAUAGAACCCGGGGUAUGACAUUACACGUAAUGCGUAUUUCGAACAAUAAGAAACCACAACAUGACUUUAGAUUUUAUUAGACAAAACAAUGCAGCCUACCUUAGGUAGGGUGUAGUCGGGGUGCUAAUACCUUCUCUUUACGCAACCAGUCUCCGUACCUGAUCUCUAAAGAUCAGUUAGGGUUCCUAGUAACCAGAAUACUAGGUGGCGACUCCCAGUCUAUUUUUCACCGCUAAGAGACAAAGAAUUCCUUGUCUCACCAUAUUUUCCACAAUAGAUAGAUACAUACCACACCUUAAUGAUGGGGGGUGGUGGGUGAUCGUCGCAACGCCGUACACGUGUGACAGAAUGACGACUCCACUGGGGAGCUUGUGGACUAAGCAUUGCUUUGUCUGAUUUUUGUUUUUGGUUUUGUCUGUGUUUGUUAUUAAGAUGAUUAUUUUAUUUAUAUGCUUUAAUUUCUGUACAUAUUUGUUCAUAUAUUGUAUAGAUCUGUUUCAUGCAUCAUUCCUUUUUUUUGAGAGUUUGUAUUGCAAAACUUUAGGUUAAGUGGGGGACUAGUAGCUUACCUUAUGAUUUUUAGUCAAGGUUUAAGUUUGUGUAAACCCCAACUCUUCACUGAGUGCUUAGACUGGUAAUGAUUGGUGCAUGUGCCAUCUUGUUACCUGCUGAGCCCCUAUAUUGCCUUUACGAGGGCGUUCACUAGGACAUCAAGAGACCCUUUUAGAGACUGAAUAGCCAACCUACCCUUGUCAAACAUAAAAGAAUUAGAACUGGCCUUUAGGGUGUAUGCUCAUAGUACAUGUUUUGCAUAAUACAUAAACCAACAUAUUGGUUUUCAGGUCUUUUAAAACGAUAAGAUGGCCAUCAUUACCAAAUUUACUACUGUGGAAUAUGGGCAGAAUUCUGAAUUGUCACAACUAUCAGAGGGAGAUGUCUCUAGAUGUAAUGCAAGGAAGCUUCCAGUAGUCAAAAACUUGAAUUAUAGUAAAUAGAUGAAGAGAAUAUUGGUUCAUAGUCAGAACAUUGAUGAGGCAGCAUUUUCCGGAAGUAUGGGCGACUGUUAGAAAUUACAAAGAUAGAAGUAUUGAACCCAACAAUCAAAGCCCUGAUUAACUUUUGGGAUCUUGAUUACAGAUGUUUUUUCUUUGGAAAUGUGGAUUUGUGUCCCACUGUAGAGGAGUAUGGAAUGUUGAUGGAGUUUCCCAAACACCUGCACAAGGUUUAUUUCCCUUUGAGAAAUGACAAGGUAAUCCCGAAUUGUCAAAAUUACUGAAAAUUCCAUAUUGAGCAGAUUUUUGAGAAGAAUGCCAGUGGUUUAAAGUGAAAUUUCUAGAGGUUGAACUAGAAAGAAAAAAAUCGCAAUAUGGAUCGAUGCUAGAAAGAGACAAGUUAAUCGCUCUAGGAUAUAUGGUCUCGUGUUAUUUCCAAGCUUAACAGGAGUUAUAAGUCUAGAAGCUGCUGCUGCAUUUAUGGAAUAUGAAAAUACUCAUGUCAACCCUAUAACUGCCAUAUUAGCUGAGACCUUCCUGACCCUCAACCAUUUCAGGAAGACUGGGAAAGGCGCAAUAGAUGUUGUACUCAGUUAUUAUACAUCUGGAUGGUAAGCCAUAUUGAAACCAAAAGGCCGAUUUUUAAUAAUUUUUUGUGGUUUAACCAAAAACCCUUGAAGUUAGUAGAAGAAGAAGAAUGGGGAAGCCUGGGUGAUCAAGGUUGGAUGAAAAAAGUGCAAGAGUUACCUACUAGCAACUUUAGUUGGAAAGCCCCUUGGGUCAAAUCGGUUGAUGUCCUAGUCAAUUGUGGACAAAAAUGCUGGGUACCUUUAGUUGGGAUCACCGAUUAUGUCAGCUAUGCUCCAGCCCUGGUGAUAAGACAAUUAGGCGGCAUACAACACAUCCCAAGGACUAUGGGAUUUGCUGAAUUUUUCUAGUUUUUCAAGGAUCAAUCCGCGCUAAAAGUUCUUGAAACUAUCAAACAAGAUUAGAGCCACUUGACAUUAAUUCAAAAGGAGUCUGAAAGGUUAAGAGACCCCAGCUCAAGUGAAGGAUAUGAAAAGUGGAGGAAUUUGACCUGACUGCCGCUCCUAGAAUGCCCUGUUCUGAAGAUGGACCUUCACGAAUUAUAAAGGGUCACUGAAAAGAAAAAGGUCAGUAAUGAGGAGGACCUUAGGGCAAUUAGAAAGGCUCCAAAUAGAAUUGGAAAAAGUAAGAGAGAUAAACAACAUUAGAAAUGAUGAUGAUGGAGGAGACAAAAGUAGAGUAUUUCUAAACAAACAGCUCGAAUCUAGAGAUGCAAAAUAAUGAUAUUAGAGCUGCAACUAAGCAAAGGAAAGGCUGUAAUGGAAGAGUUGAGAAAGAGAGGGGAAUACUGAUUUUGGAUUGGAUGUAGAGCAGCUCUGAAUUGGAAGCAUUAAAGGCUGACUUCAAUGACUAUCAAGAAAGUGCUGAAUACAAUCAAGAAAAAAUUCUUGCACGUUCAAGCAGAGUUGCUGGACCGAAUCGAGAAGUAUGAUGAGUUAAACAAGAAAUGUGUGAUGAUAGAAAGUCAGCUAGCUGAAUUGCAAGAGUUCGAAAGAAAGGGGAAGGAACAGGAAGUUAUUAAGGCAGAUUUGGCAACUAAGAAAAAUGAAAUUAGGAUGCUGAAAGCAAAACUUGACAAAGAGCGGAAAAGGUAAAACAGUUGACGAAAAGUGGUAAGCUUCAGAAUAUAAAGAACAGAUCGACACAACAACAAUACCUUGAAUCAACAACAUGUUGCUUAUGGAGAAGAUGGCCAAAGUAGACGAGCAAAUGGAUGAAGCUGCCAUUCAUGCACGGAUUAUUAGAACCAAUGCUCGACGGGUGGGGAGGGACAUCUUCGUUAUCGACAAAGCUUGGCUGAGACUGAUGCAUUCUUAGAAAAAAUUGAGAAUCGAGGCCUUGCUUUCCUACCAGUGGCUAGAAAUAGGGAUGAAGAGGAAGAUUGAUGUAUUUUUCUGCUUUGUUUUUGUAUCCUCUUUUCAAGAGAUGUAUUAACCAAUAUUAUUAAUGAAAAAGGGCCUUGACCCAUCUUUUGUAAAAUAUCUCUUAUAAAGUAGGGUUAAGUCUACCAAAGCAACAACUUGAGCAAAAUUACCCCUGAUAAGGAACGUGACAAAGAAGUCCAUACCCAUUACGCAAACGAAAUAUUGACCAUCGAUCAUUUUUUUGAAAGCUUACAUUACAUAUGCAUCAUGCAUUAUUCUUUAUCAUACAUUCAUUUACAUUAUUCCAUGCACUCCUGAUCAUGAAACAUAGGUCCCCCAUCCAAGGUCCACUACAUUAGGUUAAGAUCAAGAAUGAAGAACGAAGAGAGGGUCGUCCUAGAAUCUCACUACCAAAGUGAAUUGGAAUCCGUGAGAAAUGAAGUUUCUCGGAUGACCAAUCUGCUUGAGCAACUUCUAAGAGCCAAGAACGGGGAGGGAACGUUACCCAACCACGAUAGGAGCAUUACCAGCUCAUGUCCCUGGGUUUCUCAGAACUUGGGGGCAGAUUCGGUAACGAAAAGCACUUUACACCUGCCAUUCCCAUCCAGCCCACUCAAGGUCACGUCAUGUAGAUUUAACAGCAAUGGGCCUCCCGAUAAUAGGUCCACUGGUUUUAUAACGAUGACAAGAUAUCCGCUUUGGAAGAAAGGUUAAGAGCAGUCGAGGGAAAUGAUUGGUUCAAUCCCUGCGAGCUUCUGAAGUAUGCUUGGUACCAAACAUCAUGGUACCAAAAGAUUUUAGGAUACCGAGUUUAUAAAGUACACUGGAUUGGAAUGCCCAAACACUCCCUUCGAUCCUAUUGCAACAAGAUGGCUAGGUGAUCCAUGACGAUAAGUUGUUGAUCUACUUUUUCCAAGACAGUCUAGCAGGGUUGCACUAAGCUGGUACAUGAGGUUGGAUAAUGCCAAAAUCAAGAAAUGGAAGGAUUUGUGGAGGCUUUCCUUAAGCAGUACAAGUUCAACUUGGAAAUUGCUCCAGAUUGAACAAGCCUUAUGUCAAUGGAAAAGAGAAGCCAAGAGUCAGUAAGGGCUUUAUGCGCAAAGAUGGAGGGAUGAGGCAACACAUGUGCAACCCCAUUGAUAGAGACAAGAUGGUGACUUUGUUCGCUAAUACCUUUAAGGCACCUUACUACGAGCAUUUAAUGGGUAGCUCAUCUCAGCAUUUUAUGAUGUUGUACGCGUGGCAGAAAGAAUAGCAAGGGAUUAAAGUGGGCGCAUAGCGGAGCCUUUAGAAAGAAAGGUUUUAUUGGAAGAAAAAGGGAAGGUGACGUUAACAACUUGGAAGGCGGAUACAAAGGCAAAAAAGUAAAUUACCAAAACCCAUAAAUGCCUACCCAUCAAUUCGCCAACAUGAACUUUACCAAACCUUUUAACACCAAUCGAACAAAUCACCAACCAAACAACCACCAAAGGCCAUAUAUAGGAUACACUUCGGAGCAGCUGCCUCCACUACCCAUGCCUUUAAAAGACUUGUACGGUAAACUGCUGAGCAUUGGAUAGAUAGCUUUGAUCCUUCUACCGCCAAUCCAACCGCCUUUUCCCACAUGGUACAAACUAGAGUUAACUUGUGAAUACCAUGCUGGUAAUCCGGGGCAUGGAAUUGAAACUUGUUAUGCCUUUAAAAGGAGAUUGUUAGAGCUCAUCAAAAGAGGGUGGGUAUCUUUCGAAGACAAGCCCAACAUCAAUUCAAAUCCAUUACCUAACCAUGACACAAGUAAUAGUGGAGUAGGCAUGAUAGAAGUUGGGAAUCAAAGCAGGCGUUGAAUGUGUCCAUGAAGAAGUUGUACGACAUGUUGGUAAAAUCAGGGUUUUUAGAGAUAAAUGUUGAAAGCCAUUUGGAGAGAUGUGACUAUUAUGAGUUCCCUGGUAGAGAGGGACAUCAUAUUAAGGAUUGCAUCGAGUUUCACGAGAGGAUUGCAAAAAUGACGAUAAUGGGAGAGUUGAGGAUUGAACCUAGGGAGGGCAGUCAUGAGGUGAGUAUGAUGGAAGGUCAAGAUAAGACGUCAGGAGUAUGUAAGGUCCAACCAACAGCUAAUGGGCCUCCAAAGUUAAUCUUGGCUAAGCUUUCUUACACAAAAGGAAAUCACAAUGACAUACCUUAUAAUUAUGGUUAUGCCUCCAACAUUCAAGUCCCUCUUCCUUUGUUCCAAACUGAGAUCAGUGGGUUAACUCGAAGUGGCCGAUGCUUCACACCCGAGGAGUUGAGGAAAACAUAAGGUAAAGAAGUGGUAGAUCUUGACAAAGCACUAAAAGUUAACAAGCCAGUAACUGAAGAGGAGUCGAAUGAAUUUUUGAAGUUGAUAAAGAAUAACAAGCCCUUAUACAUUAUUGUUAGGUGCAAGGACUGCCUCAUAGGAAAGGUGCUCGUUAAUUGUCGCACCCCAAAAAAAAUCCGAAGCGCGGCAUCGGCUGGCGAUUAUUCGUUCUAUUUUGCUGAUUUGGUUCUUUGGAGUCGCCACCUAGUAAUUCAUUGAGGGCUACUAGGAAACCUGAUGUACUGGUCUUGUCAGAGAUCGCGGGUAAGGGACUGGUUGUGGUUAGGGAAGGUAUUAGCACUCCUAACGCACCCUACCUGAGGUAAGCUGCUUUAUGGACUUGAUGUGUUAAAGAAGUUUUAAAAAUUCUGUUCUUUCAUCGAAUUUUAGAAAAUACAACUUACAUGUAAGUUCAUGAUUCUUUAUCCGUGAUUAAAUCAGAAUAUUAAAUUCUUCUUUAUUCUUGCAAUUUUAUCAUAAAAAAACAUUCAUAAACAAAAAAAAAAACACACCCCAUUCACUGUCAAGCUUCGUGGACUUGCUGUGAUAUUAAAAAUAAAUUUUAGCCCAAUUCUAAGGCUUUGAUAAAUCAGUUAUUACUUUUCCAGACUAUAUGUAGAUACAUGUUCUACAUUUUCAUGGAAAAUUCAACAUGAUUUUUAUCUGUCCUUUAGAUAUUUGUGCAUAUAAAUUAAAUUCAUUUUUUUAUUCAAUUCCAUACAUAAAAAAUUACAAACACACACAAACAUUUCUUUUUUUUUCUUUAUCACUUUCUCUUCCUCUUCUUUUACAUCCACAUUUACAUAAAAUACAAACUAUAACAAAAAAACCACAAAAUUAACCAAAGAUUACAAUGAAAAUUACAAAAACAAUCUAAAACUAUUUAGAACAGUGGCAAAUGGACUUCUGGAGUUGCCGGAACAGUGUUCAACAGAGCUUUGAGAGCUGGAACAGUAGUGGCGCGUGGAUCUCACGCACCACCGCCACUGGCGGCGCGUGGGUCCACGCGCCGCCGCGAAAAAACCAGAAAUAGGGGGGUCUGCAACGACCUCCUCCCCCCUUCACUUCCUUGCCGGCGGUGAGAACGACGUCACCUACAAAGCCAAACAAAACCCAACAUCCAGUCGAUUUUAAUUUUUCUUUACUUUUCUGAUCUGAUCAUCCCUUCCUUUUUUUUCGGUGUGUUCUCCUUUGCUGGUGAUAGAUCCAGCUUCUGUGGUGGAGAUGUUUCCUCGGUGGUGAGCAGAUCGGGUCCGUGAGGAGGAGCUGCUGCGGUUGGCGGACGGCGUUGAUGGUCCGGAGGAGGAGGAGACACUGCUGAGAAGGGGAGGGUCUGGUACUGGUCGUUGCGUUCGGGCCGGUCGAUCACCGAGACCAGCCCCCCUCAUCAGAUUUUUUUUCCUUCUUCUCGCCAGCAAGCACAGCUUCUCCCUCACCUAUCAGGAGCCGCCAGCAACCCCCAGCUCCACCCCGAAGCCAUUUUUUUUCUUCUCCCAGCCGACACCAACCUCCCCUGCACGCCGGCCCCUGUUUCUUCUCCAACCGGCCAAACCAGCAGCGCCGAUCCUCCCUCUCAGCCACCGUGAACGGACCGCCCACUCCACUGCCUUCAACCGGCCCGAACGCAGCAACCAGUACCAGACCCUCCCCUUCUCAGCAGUGUCUCCUCCUCCUCUGGACCAUCAACGCCGUCCGCCAACCGCAGCAGCUCCUCCCUACGGACCCGAUCUGCUCACCACCGAGGAAACAUCUCAACCACAGAAGCUGGAUCUGUCACCAGCAGAGGAGAACACAACGAAAAAAAAGGAAGGGAUAAUCAGAACGGAAAAGUAAAGAAAAAUUAAAAUCGACUGGAUGUUGGGUUUUGUUUGGCUUUGCAGGUGACGCCGUUCUCACCGUCGGCAAGGAAGUGAAGGGGGGAGGAGGUCGUUGCAGACCCCCCCUGUUUCUGGUUUUUUCACGGCGGCGCGUGGACCCACGCGCCGCUAGUGGCGGUGGUGCGUGAGAUCCACGCGCCACUACUGUUCCAGCUCUCAAAGCUCUGUUGAACACUGUUCCGGCAACUCCAGAAGUCCAUUUGCCACUGUUCUGAAUAGUUUUAGAUUGUUUUUGUAAUUUUCAUUGUAAUCUUUGGUUAAUUUUGUGGUUUUUUGUUAUAGUUUGUAUUUUAUGUAAAUAUGGAUGUAAAAGAAAAGGAAGAGAAAGUGAUAUAGAAAAAAAAAGAAAUGUUUGUGUGUGUUUGUAAUUUUUUAUGUAUGGUAUUGAAUAAAAAAAUGAAUUUAAUUUAUAUGCACAAAUAUCUAAAGGACAGAUAAAAAUCAUGUUGAAUUUUCCAUGAAAAUGUAGAACAUGUAUCUACAUAUAGUCUGGAAAAGUAAUAACUGAUUUAUCAAAGCCUUAGAAUUGGGCUAAAAUUUUAUUUUUAAUAUCACAGCAAGUCCACGAAGCUUGACAGUGAAUGGGGUGUGUUUUUUUUUUUUUUGUUUAUGAAUGUUUUUUUUAUGAUAAAAUUGCAGGAAUAAAGAAGAAUUUAAUAUUCUGAUUUAAUCACGGAUAAAGAAUCAUGAACUUACAUGUAAGUUGUAUUUUCUAAAAUUCGAUGAAAGAAUAGAAUUUUUAAAACUUCUUUAACACAUCAAGUCCAUAAAGCAGCUUACCUCAGGUAGGGUGCGUUAGGAGUGCUAAUACCUUCCCUAACCACAACCAGUCCCUUACCCGCGAUCUCUGACAAGACCAGUACAUCAGGUUUCCUAGUAGCCCUCAAUGAAUUACUAGGUGGCGACUCCAAAGAACCAAAUCAGCAAAAUAGAACGAAUAAUCGCCAGCCGAUGCCGCGCUUCGGAUUUUUUUUAGGGUGCGACAUUAAUAAUGGCUCGGCCCUUAACGUGUUGCCAAAGCACAUACUGAAAGAAAUGCCAAUUGAAUCUCAUAUGAAGCCAAGUACUAUGAUAACUAGGGCAUAUGACGGCUCACCUAGGCCAAUAAUUGGGACUUUAGAAGUGGAGCUAUAUAUGAGGCCAUAAGUGUUCUUAGUGAUCUUUCAAGUUAUGGAUAUCCGCCCUUCCUAUAGUAUGUUGUUAGGAAGACCUUUGAUUCAUAUGGCUAGGGCGGUAACUUCAUCAUUACACCAAUGCUUGAAGUAUAUCAUGAAUAGGAUAUUGGUAACUGUGAAAGCUGAGGAGACAAUAUCCAUGAUGAAGAAUGUGGCCAUACCUUUCAUCGAGGCUGAGGAUCCCAAGGAUAACAAUAUCCAUGCUUUUGAGAUUAUGAAAACUGACUGGGUGCCUGAGAACACAGUACUAAGAAGGCCAAGGAUCUCAGAAGCGGCAAAGAUGGCAGCUCAAUGCUUCUUGGAACGCGGGAUCCCAUUUCAGUAUAACCGUAUCACUUGGGUACCAAAAAGGGUUAAUCCGAUUAAGAUGAAAGGUGUUGAUCACAGAUUUGGGUUAGGGUAUAAACCUAAAAAAGAGGAUCAUCGAUGGGCUGCUGGUCGAAGAAGGGAAAGAAGAAUGGCUAGGAUGGAUGGAAGGAAGAGAGCCUGAAGAAAAAAAGCUGGAAAUCCCUCCCCUUAGGAGCAGAAAGCCUUGGUCAAGAACUAUCAAACAUGAGCAUAAACAUCUUGGAGGAGAAGGAGGUGACGUGAAGACGGUAGCGGGAAAGAAAGAUGAAGCACUGCCACAACUGAUUAUCCACACUUUGGGAGAAGUCUCUGCUAAGACCUUUGUAUGAAAGGUGGCUGAGGGCGAGAAGUUUCAAAACUGGGCGACUCAAGAAGCCCUAGUAGUGUUUAAAAUGUAAACCAACUUUGUUUGCCUUAAUAUGCUUUUGUCAUUGCUUUUGUUUGCCUUAUUCUCCCUAGUUGACAAUUAAGGCUCAUGAUGUCAAUUAGAUUUUUUCAUUGUUAUUGAGCCCACCUUUUGUUUUAAAUAAUGAGAUAACGCGUUUUCCAAAUUUUCCUCUUUAUUUGUACAUUUACACUAAACAUUUUUCGCUUUCAGGAACCCCGAAAGCAGAUCUUCCACAACAUCACAUACACUUAGCAUCGAGAAUGAAUGGUCAAAAUUUAACAAACAUGUUAUCACCAUGGAAGAAGAAGAAGAAUGGGAUGAAAGCAAUGUUAGGGAAUUUACAAAGUUAGUAGAGCAACAUGAACAAACCUGGGAACCAGCUAUAGAAGAAUUAGAGACCAUUUGGUUUGAAGAAUGCAGGAGCCACCUAUCGGAGAGCCAUGGUGACUCUGUUCCAUGAUAUGAUGCACAAGGAAAUUGAGGUGUAUGUAGAUGACAUGAUUGCCAAGUCCAAGAAGGGAGAAGAUCAUGUAAAGGUUUUGAGGAAGUUGUUUGAGCGUUUGAAGAAGUAUGAACUAAAGCUCAACCCUACAAAAUGUUCGUUUGGAGUUAAAUCUGGAAAGCUGCUAGGAUUUGUGGUAAGUGACAAAGGUAUAGAGGUGGAUCCUGAUGAAGCGAAGGCCAUCCAAUCCAUGCCAUCCCCAAAGACGGAGAAGGAGGUGAGGGGAUUCUUGGGAAGAUUGAACUAUAUUGCUAGAUUUAUAGCUCAACUAACCACAACAUGUGAACCUGCCUUCCAGCAACUAAGGAAAAGGAAUCUUGGGAUUUGGAAUGAGGAGUGUGAGGAGGCAUUCAAUAAAAUCAAGCAAUACUUACAAAGUUCGCCUUUGCUUGUUCCUCCUAUAUCAGGAAGGCCUUUAAUAUUGUAUUUGAUAGUGACUAAAACAGCUAUGGGAUGUGUAUUGGGUCAGCAUGAUGAAACCGAAAGGAAAGAAAGGGCUAUUUAUUACCUAAGUAAGAAGUUCACUGAAUGUGAGUCUAGAUACAUUGUGAUAGAAAAACUCUAUUGUGCAUUGGUAUAAGCAACAAAAGAUUACGACAUUACAUGUUGUAUCACACCACUUUGUUGAUUUCAAAAGUGGAUCCACUAAGGUACAUUUAUGACAAGCCCUAUCUUUUAAGACGAAUUGCAAGGUGGCAGGUUUUGUUGUCAGAAAAUGACAUAGUAUAUAUGACAAGGAAAGUCGUGAAGGGGAGCGCGAUUCCCGACCACCUGGCUGAUAAUGUUGUUGAAGAUUAUGAGCCAUUAAAUUUUGAUUUUCCAGAUGAAAAUGUAUUAUCAAUAGCAGGAGAAGAAGAGAAGACAGAUUGGUGGACCAUGUUUUUUGACGGAGCAGUGAAUGUUUAUGGUAAUGGGGCCAGCACGGUGAUAAUCUCUCCUGACCAGAAGCAGUAUCCGGUUUCAGUUAAAUUGUAUUUUAAAUGCACCAAUAAUACAGCUGAAUAUGAGGCUUGUAUCCUAGGUUUAGAAGUUGCGUUGGAGCUGAAGAUCAGAAAGAUAGAUGUAUAUGGUGACUCAAUGUUGAUUAUCUAUCAAGUGAAAGGAGAAUGACAAACUUAGGAAGAAAAGUUGAGGCUGUACCAAGAAUAUUUAUCCACACUAUCAGAAGAAUUUGAAGAGAUAAGAUUCACCCAUCUAGGAAGAGAAGGGAACCAUUUUGCAGAUGCUUUGGCCACGUUGGCUGUUAUGGCUACGAUUGAUCUCUGGCUUAAGGUACAUCCUGUACACAUAGACAUCAGAAAUAACACAGCUCACUGUUGCUUAGUUAAAGGAGAGGUAGAUGGAAAGCCUUGGUACUAUGAUAUCAAGAAUUUUAUACAAAAUCAGGAAUAUCUAGUGGGAGCUUUGAAGAUGGAUAAGAAAACCCUAAGAACGUUAGCCAUGAAUUUCUACCUGGACGGAGAGAUUUUGUAUAAAAGAUCAUUUGACGGAACCUUGCUAAGGUGUUUGAAUGAGACAGAUGCUAAAAAUGCUUUACGAGAGGUACAUGAAAGGAUUUGCUCAACUCAUGCUAACGGGCAUAUGGUAGCAAGGAAAAUACAAAGGGCCGGUUAUUUCUGGAUGACAAUAGAACUGGAUGACAUUAGAAAAAGAUUACAUCGACUAUGUCAGGAAAUGUCAUAAGUGUCAAGUGCAUAGUGAUAAGGUCAAUGCGCCUCCGACUCCUCUGAUUAAUCUAGCAUCUCUCUAGCCAUUUGUGACGUGGGGGAUUGAUGUGAUUGGACCGGUUAACCAGAAAGCUAGCAAUGGGCAUAGAUUCAUCCUCGUAGCUAUUGAUUUCUUCACAAAAUGAUUAGAAGCCAGUUCAUACGCCCAUGUAACACAGAAAGUGGUGAAGAGGUUUAUAGAAAAAGAUUUGAUUUGUCGCUAUGGUCCACCAGAAAAGAUAGUGACCGAUAAUGCAUAGAAUUUCAAUAGCAAAAUGAUCGUGGAGCUUUGUACCAAAUGGAAAAUCAAGCAUUCAAAUUCCUCACCAUAUAGGCCCAAGAUGAAUGGUGUCGUGGAAGCAGCCAACAAGAACAUCAAGAAAAUUAUUCAGAAAAUGGUAGUCACUUACAAGGAUUGGCAUGAGAUGUUGUCGUUUGCUCUCCAUGCAUAUCGCACUACAGUAAGGACCUCGACAGGAACUACUCCGUAUGCUCUAGUAUAUGGAAUGGAGGCGGUGAUGCCUUUGGAAGUAAAAUACCUUCGUUGAGGGUGUUGAUGGAUUCAGAUUAAGAGGCUGAAUGGGCCAAGUAAGAUAUGAACUGUUAAACCUCAUAGUGAAAAGAGGUUGGCUGCAAUCUGUCAUCAUUAAAUCUACCAGAAAGGAUGGCCAAGGCAUAUGACAAGAAGGUUAGACCUCGCAUAUUCAAGAAGGAGAUCUAGUGCUGAAGAAACUAUUGUCUUUACCAGGAGAAGAUCAAAGCAAAUGGGCCCCAAAUUAUGAAGGUCCUUAUGUAGUGAAGAAGGCUUUCUCAGGAGGAGCUUGAAGUUGUCUAGAAUGAUGGAGAAGAUUAGCUAGACCUGUGAACUCUGAUUCUGUAAAGAGAUAUUAUGUCUAACGUUUUCAGUUUUCUCCUAAAAUCAAUAAAGCAAGUUUGGCCAUGAUUUCUUUGUGUAAAGAACCCUUUUUUUCAUUGCAUGGAUCUACAACACUUAAUUUGUUUAUUUCUAAAAAAAAAAUCUUGAAAGAAUUGGUUUUUGCAUGAUUACAAGGAAUAUAUCAUAAAGCGCUCAAAGAUGAAAUUUAAGCUCUUCUCAGUAAGAGGUGAUCGAACCAAACAAACCCCAAAGCUAAACCCUAUGAUGAAACCUUGUCUCUAAUAGCAUUUUGAAUUGUAUGGAUAAAUGGUUAGGUAAUUACCUUCGUAAUCACUCACAUGUUCCUUCUGAGAUAAGAACAAGGUUUAUCAAUACUAAUAAUGUGCGUCUUGAAAUGAGGAAAUGCUAUCUUUUUCAUCCCUUCACUUUCUAAAGAUUUUAUCCUUUGUAGUCUCUAUUUGAGCCGGAUUGAGUUUCUUCUUUAUGAAAACCUGACUAAGACCACACCCCGCACUGGGGGCAAUAAGAGAUUUUUUGUUAGAAAAGAUGAAGACAAUGGUAUAAAAAAAAAGAAAGGGGUAAAGAAUGGAAGCCCAACAAUUAAGAAAAGGAUAAGAAGAAAAGGGAGAAGGAAUUAGAGCAAAUUACAGGGAGAGAGAGAGAGAGAGAGAGAGAGUAAAGAGGACUUGGAUCUUUGAAAGUCAAAACCCCGAAAUUAGGGGCAUCACCAUGAAAAAAAAAAUAUGAUGGUUCGAUAAUGCUUUAAGACUAAGAUGAGGAUCCUUAAGCAAGCUUCUCCAAACGCAACCUAAGAGGCAGUUUUUUUUUUAAAAAAAAAAGAUAGAAGAAGAGUGGUCCUAAGUCUUUAAACCCUCAAACACUGUUGAGCCUUAAAGCAUGCUUUUCUUUCAUAGCCCAUAGACGUAGCCUACAUUACAAGCCUUCGGAAGUCCUUUCUAAUCAAGUGCACAUAACUUGGGUUAAUAAACGGUGGUCUUAUAACUCACAUGAUUUAACAAAUGAGUGAUAAUGUACAUUUGUCCAUUAAAAAAAAAGGGCUAAUAUAAGACAUUUCCCUUUUUUACACAACCUUUUCACAUAGAUACAGAUUACUUAAAGAUUAAACAGAAGAUCACCUUGGAUAAAAGCCCUAGUUUAAAGACAAACCGCAUUCCAGAAACCGAUAAAAAACUCAAUGAGAAUUGCUUAAAAGAGUUUUCGAUGCAUGUAUUGAAAGUUUUAGUUGUCAUGAACAAAUUCAAGUCUUUUUAAAGAUUUUUUUAUUUGGGAAAGAUUUUGUUGCGUGUUGGAACGAAAACCAAAAAGCCCUUAACUUGAGAAAGACAAAUUAAAGCAUUGAUAAGAGCAUGAUAAGAGGCAAUGACAAAUCAUGCAUUUUUUGGAAAUGGGUCACCUAAUGACAAGGUUGGGGAUUUUCUUCCCUAAGAUGUGAUGGAUAGAAGAGACAUGAUGGGAAAUGGAUCCAACAUGCCAUUUCGAGCACGUGAACAAGAUCGUAUCAAGAGAAUUUCAAAAAUUGAAGGAAGUGAUGGACCUAUGUUUCCAAUCCAAGUAAGGAUGCAUGCAUGGCAUCCAACCUCAAAGCAUUACAUCAAACAUUUUUGUUGACUUGUUAAAAAAAAAAUCCUCAUUGUAGUCCAGCAAGAUUAGGGACAAAGAAAGAAUCUUUGAGUAUAUGAACAACGAAAAAUCAUAGCUUGGAUCCAGAAAUGGGAAGAAGAGAUAAACCCUAACAUUAGAGAAAUCUCAAAGAAAUAAAAAGAUCAAUGAAGAAGAGUCUUCAAUUUAAACCAUAUCAUCCUGAAGAAGAAGCAUUGUUGGUUAAAAGGGAUCGCCAGACAGGAUCUUAGGUUAACCACCACAUGAAGAUUUCAGUUUUGGUUGAAGGGAGUCACCAGAUGGGAUUCUAGGUUGAUCGAGCUACGCACAGAUUUUGGUUCUGGUUAAAGGGGAUUGGCGAAGGGAUUUCAGUUUAUCCUAGCCACGAAGAGAUUUUGGUUCUGGUUAAAGGGGAUCGGCAAAGGGAUCUCAGUUUAGCCCAACUACACGGACUUUGGUUCUGGUUAAAAGGGAUCGACAAAGGGAUCUUAGUUUAGCCUAACUGCAAAGGAUUUUGGUUCUGGUUAAAGGGGAUCGGUGAAGGCAUCUCAGUUUAGCCCAACCACAUGGAUUUUGGUUCUAGUUAAAGGGGAUCAGUGAAGGGAUCUCAGUUUAACCUAGCCACGAAGAGACUUUGGUUCUGGUUGAAGAGGAUUGCCUGUAAAUGCAGAGUUUCAGAUCAACCAAGUUGUGAGAAGAUUAGUUUCGGAAGUUCACUUUUGUUUAUCUUUAAAAAACUUACUUUGUAAAGUCUUUACUACAUAAGUAUUGUAAAGAGGGGGCAUCUGUUGUAACCCAUUUUUGGGUCCCCACACAAGAAAAGAGAAAAUACAAAAAAAUUAAAUAAAUAAAACAAUAAUGAUAAUAAUAAUAAUAAAAUAAUAAUGAAAUAAAAAAUAAUAUAUCGUGAAAAGAGGAUGCCAGAGCGCCCAAAAAACGGUCAAAAAUUGGUUGAGGAGGUUUUAAAAUACAAAUGUUAAAAUUUGACAGUAUAUCAUUGACUAGUGAGAGCCAUAUUGAUUAAGAAAAUUUUAUUUGAGGAAGAAAAGUACAAAAUCAGAAGUUUAUGGACUCAAUUAAAUUUUAUUGAAGGUUUAAUUGAAUUAUCGAAGGGUUUGAUUGCAAGAAAAAAUGAUUUUUAAGUCAAUUUGAGUUUUAAUUGGAAGAAAUUAAAGUUCUGGGGUCAAAUUUUAUUUUUUAGAGUUGAUUUGGUCAAAUCACGGGUUUAAUUGCAUGCAUAUUGAACUUUGGUGGCCAAUUAAGGACUUGAUUGAAGAAAUACAAAACCAAGGACCACAAUGAAAAAGCGCGCAAAUUGAAGGGAUGAUCUGAAAUUGGAUGCAUUCUGGCGUUUGUUUUUAUUUAAAUGAAACAGCACGUUUUGGUCAAAACGGCGCCGUUUCAUGCAUUUCACAAAUAAAAGAAGCAAACGGCGCCGUUUUGAAUAGCACCAUGAGCUUUCUUCUUUCCUUGGACACAUAGAGAGCAGCAGAAGAAGAAGCAUUUUUCCCCCUGUUUUUGUUCCCCUCUCUCUCCCAAAACCCAAAAAACCAACGACGACCCGACUUGUCCCUUCACUGACACCACCACGCCCUCUUGUUGAAAGAGCCAUACCCUGCGAACAACCCCCCAGCUCACCUUACCCUACGCCAUGACAGGGGUAAGGUGGCCCUCCCCUCCUCUGCCUAUAAAUACCAGAGGAGGGAGUGCCGAAAAGAAGGGGGAGAAAAGGAGGAAAGCUAGAAGGAUUUUGUUUGAAAGAGAAAGUAAGGAAGACCGAGAGAGAGACCGACAGUUAUUGGAGAGAAAAAGAAGGGAAAACCGAACAGAAUAGAGAGGGAAGAAGAAGAAAAAAAUGGAGAAGGGAGGAACGAUUUGAGAAGGAAGAUAGGGGGGUUUACAGACAAACAUAAAAAAGAGGGGGGAGUUUGUUUUUUAGAUCAGAGAAGCUCGGCCAAAGCAGAAGAAAAAGGAAAAGAAGGGAAGAGAAGAGGAAGAGAUCGAGGGUCACUGCGCAAAGAAGAAGAAGGAUCGUUCCUCACCAUCUGGGCACCACUGUUGUGCUUUCUCUCCACCGCCAUCCUACCACCAUCAACGUUGGCAACGCUAGUAGAACCAAAGAGGGAGAAGCAGAACGAAACAGAACAGAGAGAGUGAAAGAGAAUACAAUAGAUAAAACAGAGGAGGGGUUGAGGAGAUAAACAGAGGAGACAGGAGAGAAGGAAAGAAAACAGCCGCCACCUACACCACCACCCCUGCCGCAUCCGUUGCUGUCAGCGUGGCCACCGCUCCAGGUAACUUUCUCCCCUCCCCUGUCGUUUUUAGCUUCAACUUCAUUUGCAUGCAUAACGUUUACGUUUUGCAGCAAAUGAAGCUUAAUUAGCUAGUUACUGUGCACAGUAACCAGCCUUUUAUUAGUUAUGGGCUGGAACAUCAGCCCAGCCCAGCCCACGCGGCUGGGCUGAGCCUAGCCCACAGUAUAUGGGUAGGGUCAGGGCCCAACCCGGGAUGGUUGGGCUAGGUCUGGCCUAGUUUUUUUUUUUUUUUUUUUGUUAAAAAAAAAAUUCAAAAAUAUUUGUUUGGAAUUUUACAAGUUUCCCGCGUAUUUUUUAUGUCAUUUUGAUUAAUAUCAAGCAAUAUUUUUUUUAUGUUGCAAAAAAUACAAAAUCCGAUAUUAAAAUAUCUGGUUUUUGUCAAAACUUCCAAAAAUCCAAAAAAAAUUGAAAAAAGAGAAAAGUGUUUUUGUGCAUACAGCCAAGUGUCUCAAAGCUAAAAAAUCAUAUUGUGUUUUUUUAUACAUCAAAAAAACAAUGUUUAGCAUGCAUUUUGGCUUUAAUAACCAGUUUAUUAAAGUCAAAAGAACAUUGAUCAAAAUUUCAAAAACAACAAAAUUUUUAUUUUGUUUACUCUUAGUAUCCGGGGUAUGACAUUACACGUAAUGCGUAUUCUGGAUAUUUAAUUCUUUUUUCGGACAAUAAUACCCAGGGUAUGACAUUACAUGUAAUACGUAUUCCGAACAAUAAGAAACCACCACAUGACUUUAGAUUUUAUUAGACAAAACAAUGCAGCCUAUCUUAGAUAGGGCGUAGUCGGGGUGCUAAUACCUUCCCUUUACGCAACUAAUCUUCGUACCUGAUCUCUAAAGACCAGUUAGGGUUUCUAGUAACCAGAAUACUAGGUGGCGACUUUUAGUCUAUUUUUCACCGCUAAGAGAUAAAGAAUUCCUUGUCUAACCAUAUUUUCCACAAUAUAUAGAUACAUACCACACCUUGAUGAAGGGGGGUAGGGGUGAGCAAAAAAACCGAGAAACCGAAAAAACCGAGAAAACCGAGAAAAAAAUAACCGAAAAAACCAAACCGAAAAAAAAAACCUAUUAAACCGAUUAAAAUUUUGAAAAAACCGACCGGUUCGGUAUCGGUUUUAGGCUUAUAAAACCGAAAAAACCGAACCGAAAAAAUAACCGGAAAAAACCGAGCCAAACCGGAAAAAACCCAGCCAAAACCGGAAAAACCUGAGCCAAAACCGGAAAAAAAUUAGCCAAAACCGAAAAACCGAGCCAAACCGGAAAAAACCGAGUCAAGCCGGUUUUUCCCCUAAAAAAACCGAAACCGGCCGGUUUGAACCGGUUUCGGUUUUUUUUUCCCAAAAAAAAAAAUUCGGUUUGGUUACUUUUUUGAUAAAAACCGAACCGAACCGGUUUUGCUCACCCCUAAUGGGGGGGUGGUGGACGAUCGCCCCAACGCCGCAUACCUUGAUGAUAAAAAAAAUACAUUUUAGCAUCUCAUCUUUUUAAUCUAUUAAUUUACAGGUCCUUUUAAUUUCUGAAAAAUUAAUUUUGGUAUCAAAUUUUUUUUUAUCAUUUUCAGUUUAUUAAUUUAGUUAAUUUUGGUCCUAUUGUAAUAAAGUUUUUUUAAUAAAAUUUUAUUUUAAUUUUCAAACUUUUUCUAUGUACAAAAAGAUUUUUAAGCAUCUACUUAUGUGUUUUUCUUGAAAGAAAGAUUAAUUAAAAAAACAGAAUACUGAAGUAAGAAAAUCGAGUAAUAUAAAUGGUUGAAAAUUAUAUUUUUGCAUCUCAUCGUUUUAAUUUAUUAAUUGACAGGCUUUUUUAAUUUCAGAAAAAUUAAUUUUGAUACCAAAUUUUAUUUUUAUUAUUUUAAGUAUUUUAAUUUAUUUAAUUACAUACUUGUAUGAAUUUUUUUAUUUAUAUUUUGAUUUUAAAAAAAAUAGUCUGCAUAGCCAUGGUUUUCUUAAAAGAUAAAUUUACGACUUGUGUGGAGGCGUGCUAGUAAAAUGGCUAGUAAUUUAAUAAAGAAGAACACACCACCUAACCAGACUCCACAACACAUCCAAUUUUCAAACAUGUUUAUUGUAAGUGAUACAACUAUUGAUAUUGUAGGCGAUACAAUUAUUUGUGAAAAUAUAAUAUUUUUAAUUACCAACAUUUCAUCAAAUAAUACAACAACAAAAAAAAUUUAAUUUUUUAAUAUUUUAGGGGUAAUCAAUUAUCAAAGAAUGGACAAUACCAUUGGUUGGAUUAGCCUGUGCAUGCACAUGGCCAGCAAGACGUGGACGUGGCCACCUUGCAGAGUUUAAUAAGAUGAACGAAAGAGGAAUCUAAGCAUUUUUAUAUUCUUAACAUUUCCGUCAAUCUGAAUGGUGGUUGUUUGGCAAUUUUGCUUUGGUCAUCAGACAUCACGGAUUGUUUACAUGUUUUCCGUGCUUUUAAAUAUGGAACUGUUGGCAACAGAUGAGGCAGAGCUUCCAAGAAAGUUCCUGGGCAUUCUAGUUCCUGUGUAGAGGCAGAGAUGACUAAGUGGCUACAUUUCCAGCAAACAUGGCAAGAAAUCCUUCCAAAAAUAGGGUUAAACUACUUUAUUUUCUUUCUUAUUUUUCAGUCCUUCGUUCUCUUCUUGUUUAAGCUCACUAGAAGUCGCAAACUCAAUUUACCUCCAUCCCCCCCAAAGCUGCCUGUAAUCGGCAACAUUCACCAUUUGGGCACACUGCCACAUCGUUCUUUACAAGCUCUCUCGAAAAAAUAUGGCCCUUUAAUGCUUUUGCACAUGGGGCAUGUUCCGACUCUCAUCGUU
This 23128-nucleotide long non-coding RNA is filed under the name Populus tremula. RNAcentral describes it as "long non-coding RNA (PTRE_LNC001276)". Lineage: Eukaryota; Viridiplantae; Streptophyta; Magnoliopsida; Malpighiales; Salicaceae. The record is from RNAcentral.